Bacteroidetes bacterium GWF2_42_66 is the source of this 39-nucleotide non-coding RNA. The record is from Rfam. Lineage: Bacteria; Pseudomonadati; Bacteroidota.
UAGGCGGUUACCGAAAAGCCUGUGAAAACAGAGUAGGAA